This 617-nucleotide ribosomal RNA is filed under the name Lysinibacillus sphaericus. RNAcentral's name for it is "bacterial SSU rRNA". It matches the Rfam family "Bacterial small subunit ribosomal RNA", at positions 63 to 660 of the family's 1533-position model. The record is from RNAcentral. Lineage: Bacteria; Bacillati; Bacillota; Bacilli; Caryophanales; Bacillaceae.
CGAGCGAACAGAAAAGGAGCUUGCUCCUNUGACGUUAGCGGCGGACGGGUGAGUAACACGUGGGCAACCUACCUUAUAGUUUGGGAUAACUCCGGGAAACCGGGGCUAAUACCGAAUAAUCUAUUUCACUUCAUGGUGAAAUACUGAAAGACGGCAUCUCGCUGUCGCUAUAAGAUGGGCCCGCGGCGCAUUANCUAGUUGGUGAGGUAACGGCUCACCAAGGCGACGAUGCGUAGCCGACCUGAGAGGGUGAUCGGCCACACUGGGACUGAGACACGGCCCAGACUCCUACGGGAGGCAGCAGUAGGGAAUCUUCCACAAUGGGCGAAAGCCUGAUGGAGCAACGCCGCGUGAGUGAANAANGUUUUCGGAUCGUAAAACUCUGUUGUAAGGGAAGAACAAGUACAGUANUAACUGGCUGUACCUUGACGGUACCUUAUUAGAAAGCCACGGCUAACUACGUGCCANCAGCCGCGGUAAUACGUAGGUGGCAAGCGUUGUCCGGAAUUAUUGGGCGUAAAGCGCGCGCAGGCGGUCCUUUAAGUCUGAUGUGAAAGCCCACGGCUCAACCGUGGAGGGUCAUUGGAAACUGGGGGACUUGAGUGCAGAAGAGGAAA